AAUUAGUGCUCGCUUUGGCAGCAUAUAUAAUUAAAAAAAAAAAACGGAAUGACACAGAGAUUAGCAUGGCCCCUGCGCAAGGACGACACGCAAAUUCUUGAAGUAUUCCACUAAAAA
Molecule: small nuclear RNA, 117 nt
Organism: Fukomys damarensis (Damara mole-rat)
Lineage: Eukaryota; Metazoa; Chordata; Mammalia; Rodentia; Bathyergidae
Source: Ensembl